ACUCAGGACCUUCAGAAAAGCAGUCGGGUGCUCUUACCCACUGAGCCAUCUCACCAGCCCGGUCUUUAAGAAUCUUGUAUGAUUGUUCUAACUAUCUUUAGAUGACAGAUGUAAGGGACUUUAAAAGUAAAAACUUUGGAUAUUGAUUUGUUACAAUGAAUGUGAAUCAUCUUUGAUACAACACACAUGCAUCUAUAUGCAUAACUAUAUGUGUAUGUUUUGAAAAAAUUAGACUCAGUGACUGCUGUAUUUAUGAUAUGGUACAAGGACUUUCAGAAAUUUUGUUCUAUUCGUAUGAUGCUAGUUAAUAGAAGCUAAAAUAUAGCUGGGUAUGAUGGUGUAUACCUGUAAUUCCAGAACUUGGGAAGGGGACAGGGGUUUUAAAUUUGAGGCCAUCCUGUUCUAUAUAGAGAGACUAACUCAAGAAUAAAGUAAAAUAAAAUAAGAGUACCUAAAACUCAUGCCAGUAGUUACCAUAAGGCAAGGUUUCUGGUUUAAAUAUUGUAUUUUGGGGCUGUCAAGGUGGUUCAGUGGUAAAGGUCCCUGCUACUGCACAGCCUGAGUUUGAUCCCUGGGGACCCAUAUGUUGGAAAGAGAAAACUGAUUCCUGUUACAUAUGCGCCCAGGGCAUGUACCCACACACAGAUAACAUAAAUUAAAAUGUAAUGGAAAGAAAAGUCUAGGCUGCUGGAUGGUUUUGGGAGGAUGUUUUGGCUGGAAAUGUCAAUGGUUAUUUGGAAACCAUAUUUUUUUUUAAAGAUUUUAUUUAUUUUAUGUAUAUGAGUACACUGUAGUUGUCUUCAUACACACCAGAAGAGGGCAUCAGAUCCCAUUGCAGAUGGUUGUGAGCCACCACAUAGUUGCUGGGAAUUGAACUCAGGACCUCUGGAAGAACAGUCAUUGCUGAUGACCGCUGGGCCCUCUCUCCAGCCCCCAGAAACCAUAUUUCCAGCAGAAAUUUUGUAACUAAGCUUCAUUCCCCUCCCCUAAACUAGGGAUUGGAGCCAAGGCUUUAUGACUGCUAGGCAAGAGCUAUGUACCACUGAGCUUCUCAACUCAGUCCUUAUCUGUAUUUCAUAGCAACGUUUCUGUUGAAAGGGGAAAGUUACUUGGAAAAAUCUACCUAAGUGGAUUUUGUUUGCAACCUUUUCUGAGUUUAAGGAAAAUUGUAAACCUUGGUAAGGACCAGUUUAUUUUUGGAGAAGAGAAACCAAUUUGUAACCAAGAACCUAUAUAUCUAUUUCUCAAAUGUCUAAGUUGUGAAAACU
RNAcentral lists this long non-coding RNA (1268 nucleotides) under Mus musculus (house mouse). RNAcentral's name for it is "long non-coding RNA chr9:70549444-70550712". Lineage: Eukaryota; Metazoa; Chordata; Mammalia; Rodentia; Muridae. The record is from RNAcentral.